AGAUGCUGUCUUUUGCAGUCCUCCGAGAGCCUUCUCCGCUGGUGGUAUACUUACGAGGACCAGAGGUGAGGUGUCAGCAAGGAGGCCCACAGGUGGAAAGUGCUUUGGGCCAAUGGUACACACCUGCUUUAUUGGAUAGACGCAGAGAAGUAUGCCUGGUCACAGCCAGAGCUUACUCGGUCAAGAAAUUAUGAGCUCCCCAGAAGUCUCUUGUAUGCUGUCUCCUAGUUGUGAGCACCUUUUACCAAAGAUUAAAAAGAAAAAAGAAAAUCAGGUGGAUAAAGAGCCUCAGGUCUAACUGAAUUGUCAACUAAUGAUGGUCUGAGAGUACCUGUGCUGAAAUGGAAUUGUCUUUGAGUGGACACUUCUUAGAUGAGACCUAUUGUGGCCAAUAGCUCCUGAGGAACUGAAGCCUUCAGUUCAAAACUUGUGUGAGAAAAAUGAAUCUUGCCAACUACUGGAGUGAGCUUAGAAAUGAAUCCAUCCCCAGUUGACCCUUGAAUGUAGCCUUGUCAGAGACCCAGAGACAAAGCAUCCUGCUAAUCUGCACUGGGUUCUAGGCCCACAGAAACCAUGGGAUAAUAACUUUGUGUUGCUAUAAGCCACUGAAAACAAACAAAUAAAAUACUUAAGAUGUUCCCCUGUGGAAGGGUUCCAUUGCCAGGGAUCUGCACUUCACAACCAAAGGGAUUAAAGAGAAUUGCCUUCUUCAGAUUUCAGACUGUGGCCUGCUUCUGGUUUUUCUUUCUAUAUUCAUAUAUAUGUUUGUUUAAAUCAUCCUACUUUUGGAGCAGGAAAAGUUACUAUUACAGUUUAUACAAAGGGAAGAAAUCUGGUACAUGCUAAAGUUAUUCAUCUGUAACUACCUGACGAGCCCAAUUAGUUGCUUGCUCCUAUGGAUUCUGAGCCUAAAAUCCCUUCAACAGAUCUUUGACCUUUUCUAAGUUAAGUUUUUGGAAGUAUCCUAUUUGUUCACUUACUUGGGCCAGAGACUAUAGAGAUUAAGAGAAAGUUUGAUAUUUGACCCUAAUUUUAGGCUAAAACAAUUUAGAUGGAAAGAACAGACACAAUUCAAUUUAACCAUCUUCAACUGCUGUGCUUUAGAAAGCUGGGAGUGUGGAGAAUGGAGUAGGUGUACAGAAAAAUAAGAACAGUUCUGUUCUUCAGGGCUUGAUAAAGGCUGCUGUGAGUUGGAUGGACAAUAAUUACUACUGACUAGGUCUAGCUGGGAUAGUUAGGGGAGACUUUCUGAAAGAGGCAACACAUGAGCUGGGUUCUAAAUCUCAAAUAGGAUUUGAUGGCUGAAGAUGAGGGUAAUAAAACAAGAGAAACAAGUACAUUCCAGAUAGAAAGAAUAGUAUAAGCCAAGAAAAACCUAUUCCAGGGCAGCAGGGAAGAGUCUGAAGUGGCAAAACAAAGUAGGAGGCAAAGCUGUCAAUAUAAGUAACUUGGUAGAGAAACAUUAGGAGUUUGGAUUUUAUCCCAUUGACUAGGAGGAUUUAAAAACAGAAAAUGCUCACAGGGGCCAGGCAAGUUAUGAGUAAAUAAAAGGUCCAGGUGUAAGUGCAACAGGGCCCAUGGACAUAGGAAUGGGGGAUGUGAAAAACCAACCUUUGCUAACAGUGAGUUCUACUAUGCAGUUUUAGCUGAUUAUAGCCAGACUCGAAAGCAACCUUUGUAGGGUUGACAGUUCUUGUGAUUGUUCAAGAAAAAAAUUUAUGUAAAAUCUACUGACUUGAAAAUACUAGAUUAAUUUAUUUAAUGUUAUAGAGCUCAAAUAAAACACAUUUGUCUUAUUUAUA
Molecule: long non-coding RNA, 1802 nt
Filed under: Homo sapiens (human)
Lineage: Eukaryota; Metazoa; Chordata; Mammalia; Primates; Hominidae
Description: ARL14EP divergent transcript, transcript variant 5 (ARL14EP-DT)
Source: RNAcentral